UCCAUCUCCACUCCAAAUAGAAUUGCUUAGGACUAUCAAUUCGCAGGAAAGUAAUAGAACUUCUGAGGGCCUUGGUACUUGUAUAAUAUGUUUUCCGUUUCAAGGGUUAUGUGCAGCAGCCUUAAAAAUAUUUGCAUCAUUUCCUUGCCAAAAGCCAAUCGGGUUGUAUAUUCACAAUUACAGCUGCCUCUUAGAACUCAAAAUUUCACAACUUUAAAAAAACCCGAAACAUUUCAAAUAUCAAGAUUACGUACCCAUUGUAGGUGCAUGGGUACAAUUAUUAAAAUAGUGCACGAAGAAAAUAGGUUUUUUAUAGAAAUGAACGAUGAAGUUGCUGAAUUGAAAUACUCUAUUAAUGAUGGAGUUAUGGAAAUAAAGCAGACAAAGGUUCCUAAAAAAUUGGGCGGACACGGUCUGGGCAAGUUAUUGGCUAAGGUAUUUGUAUACCAUCUCUCUUCAACAAAUUUUAUAAAGCGUUGCUAUGCAAUCUGGUUGCUAUUCAACAAACUAAACCGUACACACAUAUUUGCAUAUAUCAAAAAUUCUUUAUUGAAGAAAGUCCCCGGUCAACUUUAGUAGUCCGGUUGUUUCUUAGUUAAAUACAUAUUAACAUGCGUUCAAUUUAAAAAAUACAAAUGAAAAAAUAACACUUGAUGUGAUAAGUAGCUUUGGAAUAUGCCGUACAACAUGACUUAAUUCUCAAAAUAUCAUGCAGUUUUGUACAAUUCUACAUUGAACAAUAUGAACCACG
This 751-nucleotide unclassified non-coding RNA is filed under the name Drosophila virilis. RNAcentral's name for it is "GJ27155". The record is from RNAcentral. Lineage: Eukaryota; Metazoa; Arthropoda; Insecta; Diptera; Drosophilidae.